This 1459-nucleotide long non-coding RNA is filed under the name Fukomys damarensis (Damara mole-rat). RNAcentral's name for it is "lncRNA (ENSFDAG00000029974.1)". Lineage: Eukaryota; Metazoa; Chordata; Mammalia; Rodentia; Bathyergidae. The record is from RNAcentral.
GCCAUCUUGGCAGCGCCAGUGUUGUUUCACUCCAAGGUGAGUCUUCGUGUGGGUUCUGAGGUACGGAGCCAGACAGGUCAUACAGAGUUGGCCGAAAGGCUUGCUAUUUAAGGAAAGCGUAUUCUUUUGAAUAGGGAAAGCCCACCAUCACCUAAAAUGGUGCUAUCUAAUAGAAAGUUAAUGUCAGCCACAUAGCCGCAUAAGUCACUUUUCUAGAAGCCAUGGUGCAAAAAAGUAAAACAAAGCAGAUGAAUUUAAUUUCAUAAGGUACUUAAUUUAGCCUAGUCAAUUCAAAGUAUUAUCAGUUCAACAUCUAAUCAAUAUGAACAUAUUUACAUCUUGUUUUUUUUUUUCUCCAGCCAGAAGAAGUCUCCCAUUCCCCCUCCACCUCUUCUCUCCCCUCCCUGGGACAGUUCUGACCUGGGUUACAGGAAGCCAAGGUCUGGCUGUUUGUCCAAGUUCCCUCCCAUUACCAGAAGCCUAAUGGCGGGGCUGCUGGUCCUAACUGGCUCUGUCCCUUGACGCAGAGGCCAGAAGCAGGGGUGGGACCCGAAGCGGGAAGGGGAGUCAUGUUGUUGUUUAGCACUGUCUGGGCCCAGCGAUGAAAGCCUCCAGGCCUUUGGCUGAAGAUACCACAGAAAGGGCCAGGCGUAGCCAAACUUCAGUCGUUCCUCAUCAGUGUUUCCUCAGACAGCCCUGGGCAUGGCCCUGCUGGCGGCCGGGUAACGGAGCCUUUGGCUCAGGGCCUGAUGGGAGAGAAGUUCCAGAUUCCAAAGGGGUGGAUGGAGGAAGAACAGCAUGUUCCCUUCACUCAGAGAGUAUGAGGAGGAUUCGACGCAGGUCACCUGGCUUUCAGGUCUGAGGGACAAAUCCCAGCUCCUGGGACCUGCUGGGUUUCAUUGACAAGAAGAGCAGAAGGUAAGAAACAUGGUUUACAUCUGAGCUUCUGGCCCUUCUCAUGCCCAGCUCCAUACCAGGCAUCUCUUGUGCCUGUCUACUGCUUCCUCUUCUCUCCCCUACCCCUGCCCAGAUGAGUAGUGGAUCCUCAGCUCUGCUUCUCUGUUGGCUUUUUGAGGCAGGAUCUCUUUAAGUAGUUCAGACCAGCCUUGAGCUCACUAUUUAGCCCAGGUUUGAACUCACGGCCACCCUUCUGCCUCAGCCUCCUGAAUGCUGGGAUUUACUGAACUCACGGCCACCCUUCUGCCUCAGCCUCCUGAAUGCUGGGAUUUACAGGUGGGCACCACCACGCCUGGCAGGCUCAGCCCUGUUUUAUAAGCACAUCCCCACAGACACAGACAGUCAGAAAAGGGAGGCACCCAACUCCAAGGGCAGCGUCUCCAGCCCAGGGACUUUGAAAAAUGACUGAGAGAGUGUCUAAACUCGUAAAUGUUCUUGGCUAAUUAAGAUGAAGGGAAAUUUUGGUUUUCCUUUGUAAUCGGUGGACCCUAAAAUAGGCAAA